RNAcentral lists this ribosomal RNA (376 nucleotides) under Scytonema sp. 72.1. Its description in RNAcentral is "partial 23S large subunit ribosomal RNA". It matches the Rfam family "Bacterial large subunit ribosomal RNA", at positions 2098 to 2465 of the family's 2925-position model. Lineage: Bacteria; Bacillati; Cyanobacteriota; Cyanophyceae; Nostocales; Scytonemataceae. The record is from RNAcentral.
GCUUUACUGUAGCCUGGAAUUGGGUCCGGGCUUGGCUUGCGCAGGAUAGGUGGGAGGCAUUGAAUCACUCCUUGUGGGGANGUGAGGAGCCAACGGUGAGAUACCACUCUGGCGAAGCUAGGAUUCUAACCGAUUUCCGUAAUNNNCCGGAAACGAGACAGUUUCAGGUGGGCAGUUUGACUGGGGCGGUCGCCUCCUAAAAGGUAACGGAGGCGCACAAAGGUUCCCUCAGCACGCUUGGAAACCGUGCGUAGAGUGUAAAGGCAAUAAGGGAGCUUGACUGCAAGACCAACAAGUCGNAGCAGGGUGGAAACACNGGUCUUAGUGAUCCGACGGCACANGCGUGGAAUGGCCGUCGCUCAACGGAUAAAAGUUA